RNAcentral lists this ribosomal RNA (468 nucleotides) under uncultured bacterium. RNAcentral describes it as "partial 16S ribosomal RNA". It matches the Rfam family "Bacterial small subunit ribosomal RNA", at positions 28 to 507 of the family's 1533-position model. The record is from RNAcentral.
GACGAACGCUGGCGGCGUGCUUAACACAUGCAAGUCGAACGGAAAGGCCCUGCUUUUGUGGGGUGCUCGAGUGGCGAACGGGUGAGUAACACGUGAGUAACCUGCCCUUGACUUUGGGAUAACUUCAGGAAACUGGGGCUAAUACCGGAUAGGAGCUCCUGCUGCAUGGUGGGGGUUGGAAAGUUUCGGCGGUUGGGGAUGGACUCGCGGCUUAUCAGCUUGUUGGUGGGGUAGUGGCUUACCAAGGCUUUGACGGGUAGCCGGCCUGAGAGGGUGACCGGCCACAUUGGGACUGAGAUACGGCCCAGACUCCUACGGGAGGCAGCAGUGGGGAAUAUUGCACGAUGGGCGGAAGCCUGAUGCAGCAACGCCGCGUGCGGGAUGACGGCCGUCGGGUUGUAAACCGCUUUCGCCUGUGACGAAGCGUGAGUGACGGUAAUGGGUAAAGAAGCACCGGCUAACUACGUG